This 387-nucleotide unclassified non-coding RNA is filed under the name soil metagenome. RNAcentral describes it as "partial contains 5.8S ribosomal RNA, internal transcribed spacer 2, and large subunit ribosomal RNA". The stretch from base 1 to 120 matches the Rfam family "5.8S ribosomal RNA", at positions 35 to 154 of the family's 154-position model. The record is from RNAcentral.
GAUGAAGAACGUAGCGAAAUGCGAUAAGUAAUGUGAAUUGCAGAAUUCAGUGAAUCAUCGAAUCUUUGAACGCACAUUGCGCCCAUUAGUAUUCUAGUGGGCAUGCCUGUUCGAGCGUCAUUAAUUCCACUUAAGCCCUGCUUAGUGUUGGGAAUCUACUCUAGUGGUGCUACCCUGGAGCUACCCCUGAAAGGGGGCUGGCCCGGUAGCUACCCUGUAGUUCCUCAAAGAUAGAGCGCGGAGUUGCGUGGUCCUCUGAGCUUAGUAACUAUACACCUAGCUUUUGAGUGUCCCGCGGCGCCUGCCGUUUAAACCCCAUCUUUUAAUGGUUGACCUCGAAUCAGGUAGGAAUACCCGCUGAACUUAAGCAUAUCAAUCAGCGGAGGA